Molecule: unclassified non-coding RNA, 155 nt
Filed under: Lessingia glandulifera var. glandulifera
Lineage: Eukaryota; Viridiplantae; Streptophyta; Magnoliopsida; Asterales; Asteraceae
Description: partial external transcribed spacer
Source: RNAcentral
CCUUCGGACCAAAAUUGUUGUAUGGCUUGUGUGGGGCGACGGGCACAACGUGAAUCCRURAUAGGCCAUGGCGGGUGUCUUUUUAAGCAUCCAAGCCAUACAACAAUCGGGGGGUUGGGAUUAUUCUAGCGGGUUUCGUUCUCUUCGUAUCGUGC